Molecule: ribosomal RNA, 106 nt
Filed under: Nannospalax galili (Upper Galilee mountains blind mole rat)
Lineage: Eukaryota; Metazoa; Chordata; Mammalia; Rodentia; Spalacidae
Source: RNAcentral
CUAUGUACCUAUAUCACACUGAAUGCACCUAGCUGAAUGCUCUUAGAAGCUAAGCAAGACCAGACCUGGUUAAGUACUGUGAUAAGAAUUUUAGGAGCUAAUUAAG